Oncorhynchus mykiss (rainbow trout) is the source of this 6435-nucleotide non-coding RNA. The record is from RefSeq and is a predicted model, not a curated record. Lineage: Eukaryota; Metazoa; Chordata; Actinopteri; Salmoniformes; Salmonidae.
ACAGUAGACAUGUGACACUGGUGGUUCAGUGGAGAUGAAAACAGCAGUGGGGCUGCUUGCAAUAGGCAAAUACAGGAGAUGAAUAGAAAGUGAUAAGGCUGCUGUACUUAUAACUCAAUAGGAGUCCCUCUGCAGAGAGGGGAAGUUGUUAAAAGCACACACACUGAGGUCACAAUUGCUUACACACACACACACACACACACACACAGAGGAACUCAUUCACAUGCACAAACAAAGACUCUCCCCUACCCAAGGACCACCAGCCCACGUACAGACUGGAUAGAUUCCUUAGGCGCUGACUGUUCCCACUAUGCAGGACAACAAGUCUGAUGUGAAGGCCAUCAUGGCUCGCUUCAACACGGGGGGAAAUGCUACAGAGGGUAUCUCCUCAGAAGGUCCAAAAGCUACAGUGCACCCCACCCUGUCCUCAGGACCCCCCAUCCAGCCUAAGAAACAUGCCCUGGAGACCAGCCUCUCAGGCAGCGCAGCCUCCACCGCACCCAAACCCAACUUCCUCAAGAGCACCAUCUCCACCAAGAGCGCUCCAGAAGUCAGGGACUUUCCCAAAAUCAAAGUUAUCCCUAGUAAGUUUGGAAACACCCAAGAGGACAGCAAACCCUCCUUUGUCAAACAGUACCCCUAUAAACUCAAACCACCUGGCCCAGAGAUAUCCCAGGAUGCUGAGGUCAAAAGCCCUUUGCCCAAACUCCCUCUCCAGAAGCCAUCUCUGAGCUUAACCUCGUCUGACACCAAGUCUGCCUUUCCCAAACCUCCCCUGGGUGUGGCCAAACCCUCCUGGGUCAAAGACAGCAGCCCCAAACCUGACGAUAGUGGGGGUACCUCGAACUCCAUCCCACCCAAAAUACCCCCUUCCAAAAAAAACAUAAUCUCCAUUGCAAAGAUGAGUCUACAGACAGAGGAUAGUGUGGAUGGAGCAGUGGAUUCUACAACCAAACCACUGGGAGCAGCUUCUAUCCUCAAACCCUCCAACUUCAGGACUGCACAGAACAUGUCCAACAGAGGAGAUACCCUAUCUGAGAAUGGGGUAAAGGAAAUAACCAAACUUCCCCUCACUUCCAGCGACUCUUGUCUUCCUAUACCUACAGCCAGUAAGACACCCAGCUUCAUUAAGAAGCCCCUGGGUCCCAGCUCCCCAGUCGUGGGGGUGAGCAACAGUAGCCCGCCCCCCCCCAAAUUGAACCCCAUGCCCAAUUUCCUGGCAAUAGGGACUGCGCCAGCCAAACCCAACCGGCCUCCUAGGGUGACCUUGGAUAAGUUCAAGAAGGGCACAGAGGCUAGUACCGAUGGUCCUGCUGGGUUAAAGAAGGGAUCUGUUCCACCAAACCCUGCCUCUCACCCCAGUAACCAUAUGGCCCCACCCCUGCCCUCUCAUCCCAUGGCCCUUAGCCUGCCCCCGCGACCACCAGAAGCCAUAAUCCAACCUGACCCAGAUGAGAACUAUGAUGAUGUGGGAUUAAUGAACAAUCCUCCACCCCCUCCCUCUGGAGGACAUCCUAGUCAAAAGACUAAGGACAGUGAAAGUGAUGAAAUGUAUGAAGAUCUUGACGAAAGAUGGGGGGCAGUGGAAUCAAAGGAGCAGGAGAAGAAGAGAGAGAGGGAGGAGAAAAAACGACAGGUGGAAAGGAAAGAACAGAAAGAACGUGAGAGGAAAGAACAAGAGGCCAAAAGGAAAUUCAAACUGACUGGUCCACUGAAGGUCAUCCACAGGGUCCAGGCCAGAGUGGACAGUAAAGGGAGUAAGAUGGACCUGGGGCUGAAGCAGGGAGAGUCUAUUGACAUCAUGCGUGUUUUGGACAACCCAGAAGGACGCUGGCUAGGGAGGUCACAGGACGGCUCCUAUGGCUAUGUGAAGACUGAGUCUGUUGAGAUUGACUUUGACACCCUGAAGCGUCAGGGUGUGUCUAUAUCCAGUCAUAUGGAGCACGAACCGGAGGUAUACGAUGAUGUGGCCUUUCAGAAUGACCUCAGCAGUGGGAUUAAGAGUGCAGGAAUGGUUCUUCCUUCCCCUCCUGAUGAGGAUAGUGACAUAUAUGACGAUCUUGACGAUUCAAGCUUCAACGUCAGAGUAUCCCCACCUUCCCAGUUUGACCAGACAGGAAAUACUGUCUCCCACUAAGUAAAACCAAGGGUAAGGCUGAGGACAAAUAUCUUAAAAAGCUAAAGAAACUUGAAAAGGAAGAGAAGGAAUUCAGAAAGAAGUUCAAGUAUGAUGGGGAAAUCCAGGUACUCUAUCAGGUGACCAUCAUUUCCACCUUGGCCAAUAAGAAGUGGAGCAGUAAAGCUCUGUUGUUGAGACCUGGGGAGACUCUGGAUGUCAUCGUUAAGCCUGUAGACAACAAACUCAUCUGCAGAAACGAGGAGGGCAAGUUCGGCUACGUCUUGACCAGCCAUAUUGUAGUAGAAGAUGCUGAUAUCUAUGAUGACAUUAGUGAUGGUUGCAUAUAUGACAACGACUGAACACUGUCUACAAAGUGAUGCGAUAUUUGUAUUUUGGGGGUUUCUUGUUUAUAUCAACAACCUUUAUCUAAUUUACUGCGAUUAUUUUGAGGUGAAGUGGUUUUCAUUCAAGAACAACACAGUCCACAGACACUUCCUCCCUUUAUGAAUAACUGUGACUUUGCAUUGAAUAGGCCUAAAUGACAUACACUUUCAAUAUAAAAACGGAACAUUGUAUUUCAAUGCUUAUAUUCUAUAUUCAACAAGAGAUAUUACAAUUCUGAUUGAAAACAAAGGUGCAAUGAUGAUACAUUUUCAUAAAAAAAAAUAUUAACAAUUUGAUGCCAAAUAUAGCAUGUCUGAUCAGUUGUCAUAUGGUUGGCUGGUUCUCACCUGACAGGUGAGUUAGGUCAUAUUGUAGACCUACUGAAAGUAAGAGCCCAUUAGUGAUGCGCAGUUCGCAAACGAUUUGUUCUUUUUUAACUACUCUUUUUACUGACUCGAGAAUCAUAAUUAGUUUGACUGAGUGACUUGUUCAUUUUAGUUCUUUGCUAGACCUGCUUGUGCUGGCAGCAAUGUAUCCUACCACUGUAUCCUACCACUGAGAUAAUAAUAGAGGCCCACAGUGGAGGCGUCAUGAUACCCAGCUGUCAAACAGAGAAAUGGUUCCUAUCGCUUCUCCACCAGUAAUUUUUCCCAUAGGGAAUUUUAGAAACACUUAAAAUAAGGAUGUGACAUUUUGAUAACCAUGUAAAUCUCUAACAAGGUGACUUUCAUCAAUAUAUUUGGUUCCAUUUACUCAGAUUCAAAAAUGAUCAUUGACAUCAAAGUAGGCAUCAUGCAAGACUACAAAACCCUCUUUGCACGUCAUCUUUAACUGACACCUUUGCUAACAGGUAUUGAUUCAAUUUAAAACCUGCACAAGACAGUUCACAUAAUUGUCAAUUCAAAGAAAUGUAGCCUAUUUAUUUAUUACUACAUUUAGCUAACAUUAGAUAAUUAAUCCAGAGAUUCUUACCUUUGUCUCGAGUCGGCAGUCUCGUCCAGAUCAUAAUGGCAUUUGUAGUUCUUUAUGAUAGCUACAUGAACAUCUAAUUAGGAUUUCAUUUUGUGGGGGAAAUACAGGUGAAAAUAGAGAGAUUUACAUGGUUAUCAAAACAUCACGCCACGGUAAGCCUACACGAAACACAGCCCUUAUUUUAAGUGUUUAUAAAAUCCCAUAUGGGAAAAACUAAUGAAGGAAAUGGUUCCAAUUUUUUUCCUCCAUUCGUUAUUUCCCAUAUGGGAUUUUAUAAACACUUGAAAUAAGGGCUGUGUUUUGUGUAGGCUUACCGUGGCGUGAUGUUUUGAUAAUCAUGUAAAUCUCUCUCUCAAUAUUUUCACAUGUAUUUCCCCCCAUCAUUUCACCUUCUUCUUCUAUGAUAUCAUGGCAAUCCGGAAACAAUCAUUUAAGUGCAUGCCGCCACCUACUGUGCUGGAAUGCACGAUCAAUCAUGAUCUGCCCAAAUCUGUACUACCAUGAAAAUACAAUUCAAAACCAAAUUAAAUCCCUACUAACUUCUAGCAACCCCCCCCCCCCCCCCCCCCUCCCCCUCAAACCCACUAUUCUUGAUCUGUAUCAUGCUGAUUUCUGCUUUCCACAACCUGAGUCGUAUUGAUAACCUUAUCAAUAACAGCUAUGAAGUCAACUUCAUUCAUUAUCAAAGUGUCCUUUGACACUGCACAUUCAUAAGCACAAGAUUUCUGAACAGGCCUCCAAACCAUGCCAGGAUCAGCAGAAGCACCAGACCAGACAGUAGGUCCACUUACUACAGGUACAUCCAUGUAAGCUCCAUCAGUCCGCACUGUAGUUCCACCAACCUGUUUUAAGGCCUCUGCAUAUGAUACAUCAUGGCUGAUCUUAUAUCUCUGAGCCUCUCUCUGUAGCUAACAUCCACCAAAUGCUGCACUGUGUUCUCCCCCACAAUUACAGCACUUAGCCAUCACAUUGCUUCCACAUUCACCAUAAUCAUGUGCCCCUCCACACUUGGCACAUCUUUUCUUUCCUUUACACUGAGCAGCUACAUGUCCCUUUCUUUGGCAUUUAAAACACUGCAGUGCAUACGGGACAAAUUCUCUGACAUUGACACUAAGGAAUCCUAUCUGUACUUUUCCCGGCAAGACUUUCUCAAACCUCAGCAUCACUGAUAAGCUUUCACUUCUUUGACCCUCUUUCCUACUUAUCAACCUUUUGGUCUCAAUAAGUCUGCCUCCAUUCACAUUUUAAUAUCAUCUGUGGACAUAGAUAUUGAGACCCCAGGGACAUGGCUUUUAAUCUUCUUCCCAUUAAGCUUUUCCAUUUUCUAAAUCUUCUCUUGGUAAGCCUGGAUACCACACAAUACUAACAAUCUGCCAUUUCCAAUUAACCAAGCUAAUUUAAUUUCACCUACCUCUUUCUCUAAAGCAUUAGUUAGUCGGAUAGGGUGUAAGUGGGGCCCAGUGGUCUCAUCAAACACUAUCACCACUUUCCACUCCAACACAUCACUACUCUUGAUUCAAACCUUGGCCCUCUUUAUGCUUUCUUUACUAGACGCUCCACUGCUUUCUGUAUCAUGAUCUCUCUUCUUCCUGUCUUUCCACUACCGACCAUUCUGGUCCUUGACCCUCAUCCUCCCAUUCCAUACAAUCAGAACUGAUACCCAUAUUGUUCGUAUUCCAACACAGCUGUUGCUUCACCAACUUUUUCUCCAUUUAGCCCGCACUACUCGCCGCCAUUUCCUAUUCCCCGAGCUAUGGAUCAACUCUACACGCUUCACCAAUCAAGGAACGUCAUGUGGACAACCUGCAGGCAGCAACCUGACAGCAAGGUGGUCAUUCUUGCUCAUUGGCAUGUUCUAUGGCAAACAGAGAUAUGACUAUCUGAAGCCAAGAGCUGAGGAAGAGAGGCGUGUUGAGGAAUCAGAGAAGAAGAUACGAGAGGAACAGGAAAAAAUAGCCAAAGCACUUGCGGAAGCCUCUGAAGACACCAUCCUGAAAUGAACUUAUGGAUCUACUCUGUCAUGUUAGAAGAAGAAUAAAUGCAUGAUAAACAUAAUUGAAUGUAUUACAGAAUUCUUCUCUGGUAUAUCUGUUUAGAUGGUAAUGUGCUUACAAUUAUUAGUAUAAUACUAACAACUUCCAGUACUCUCAAAACACAUCCAAAAUGUGUUUUGACAUCUAAAUUCAACCAGAUGUCGAAUUUCAUAUAACAUAACAUUUUGUAUAAUUUUAAUCUCAAAUCAGAAAACAUUUGUCUAUACCCUUGUGUAUUCUACUGACUAAAUGGAUAGGAAUAAAUAGUAAAGUUAACUGUCUGGUUCCUAGGUGUAUACUGUAUGUCUGGGACUGUCACCCUGCCCUUCAAUGUUAGGAGGAAGGACUAGGUUUUAAUCCAGGCCCAGUUUAGCAUAAAUCCCAGGAUUCAGGUCAUAGGCCAAUCUAAGAAAGUGCUGAGUCAACACUACUGCCACACACUCUUCUGCCUAGGUUCAACCAUGGAGAUCAAGUGAAGACUCUAGUGCCCGAAAUGCAGAUGCCAUUUUGGGACAGAUAAAUGAUGUGAUGUGUAUGGGUUUAACACAGAAUAGUCAUCUACCUGGCCAAUUUGUGAUUACAUUCAUGAAUAUUUGACAUGCACAUACUUUUUCUAUAAUCUGAAUUCAUUUUGUUGUAACUUGUUCUUGCAUUUCUAUCUGUAUGCUGCUGGGCCAGGGGUAACUUAGAUACUUUGACCCAACCUCUGGCCAUAUGCAUACAAACAAUAGUAUAUUUUACAAAUGAGUUUUCCUGUUAUAUAAAACUAACAAGAUACCAUUAGACAAAAUGCAUCCUUUAAAAAUGUAUUUACUUUAUUUUGGUUAUUGUAGAUAGCACAUACAGAACUUCAGAAUUCUGGUCAUGUUUACAUGCAAAUAUUUGUAACAGCAAAUUGGGGAAUAAAAUGUUAGUUGCAAUUUUUAA